UGUGCUAGAUGUUUGUUAUUACAGUGUUAGGAUGGACAUUUUCUUUUACUUUAAUGUUGUCUAGUAUUUUUGGCAGUGUUAAUUUUACUGUGAUGGUAGCUUAGGUUAGUUGGUUGAUUGUUAAUAAAGUUUCUGUUUGCAUUCGUCUUUUGAUUUAGUUCAUCCGGAUUCACAAACCUUUCACAACCCCCUAACUACGUGUUUGACCUAAUUCUCGAACCACAGUUUGGUCCUUGAGAGACGACCUAGGAGUCAUUCCCUAGCUAUACUGCAUUUCUCAUAUGCAAUCAAAUUUGUAUGGGCUGCGACACCCAUCAAAAGCGGUUUCCCUCUAAUCGCCUGGACGUUCGGUGUGAACGCUUGAGCGAGAAGCAGUGACUACACCCUUGAGUCUGGCGCUCAGCGAUGGAUUUUGACGCUGAGUGGUGCAUUGAUUCUUCUUUUCUUCCUUUUUCUCCUUCUUUCUUGAGUCUAAGUCCUUCUUACUUCACUUCCAUCUUUAAUUCUCAUCAAAACCCU
This 519-nucleotide long non-coding RNA is filed under the name Vigna radiata. RNAcentral describes it as "long non-coding RNA (VRAD_LNC017113)". Lineage: Eukaryota; Viridiplantae; Streptophyta; Magnoliopsida; Fabales; Fabaceae. The record is from RNAcentral.